GGCGGAGAGUAGAGAGCUAGAGGGUGAGAAGCGCUGGGCCGGACCAGAACUGUCUUCGCUUUUCCCUCUGCGGCUGCUCUGGUUGGUUACUUUGAGCCUUCCUCCUCAGCGCCGCAGGAGAGACUUAACAGCAAAAAUGACUGUGUCCUGAGUUCAGCCCCCACUGCUCUGGGAGCUUCCCCCUGGUUUCUGCACCUGAAGAAUGUCAUCCCAGCCGAAGGUUCUUAGGAGCGGGGAGCGACAAAGAAAAACAAAGAAAAGCAGACCUGAAAAUUGGGACCUGGGAGAAAUAGACGAGUGCUCUAAACCAGUAUCAUGGCUCCAGUUCCUCUGACAAGGAUUCACAUGGG
Molecule: non-coding RNA, 350 nt
Filed under: Pan troglodytes (chimpanzee)
Lineage: Eukaryota; Metazoa; Chordata; Mammalia; Primates; Hominidae
Source: RNAcentral